This 1237-nucleotide long non-coding RNA is filed under the name Felis catus (domestic cat). RNAcentral describes it as "lncRNA (ENSFCAG00000040663.2)". Lineage: Eukaryota; Metazoa; Chordata; Mammalia; Carnivora; Felidae. The record is from RNAcentral.
CACGAAGGGCAAUGCGGUUGGCUGCAAAGCCAGGGGUAAGCGAUUCUCUCACAAACACAUCCUGAAAACAGACUGUUGCGCCCUCUCUGACAUGUUUUAUAAGGCCUCCUGCACAGAAAGCACACAUAACCACAGAAUUCCUUACCAGGAGCAUUCCGUGGGGUUAAGGGCAUGCCUCGUAGGUAUCGCCUCCUGAUCGAAUCUUCUGCUUGUCUUAGAACACUCCGGUGGCAGCAGCGCCUCACCAUGGCCCAGUGUGUGAGUCUUCUGGUCUUUCUCCAUGGAGUGCUUGCAUUUCAGACACCAAUUCAAAACUUGAAGGGGAGACCAGAGAAUGCCUUUGACAGGAAGGCAGCUGACCCGCCAGCUCUGUGGCCUUCCAGUGUUUUGGGAGCAAGAGAUGUCAUUAGACCCGCCGUCAGCCCCGUGGCAAGUGUCCGGCUUCGGCCAGUGCCCGUCACCCCUAGACAAAAUCCGUCCACGGUAGCUCCUCGCUGGUUGGGGAGCAGAGCUCUGAGAGGCCCUGUCCCCACACCUCUCACCCAGGCCAGGAUACCACAGACAAAGGGACUGGCCUCUGUACCUAGAAACCGGGGGACCCACUUCGCUGUGUCAGCCAGGUUUCCUCCGACACCCCGAGUUCUGACGACUGCGGGUCUCCCCACAAACGGAGCCCUUCACGGCACCAGUGUCCCCACCUCUCCCACAACUAAGGAGCCCCGAGGAGAUAUGUAAGCCGAUGUGGCAGUGCCCCCUUCUCUUGGCAGGGGACCCACGUCUGUCUGUGUUGCUGUCUGGGUGCGGAGAGCAACGUUUGGGAGAAGUGUUCACACUCUGGGGGCCCAGGCAAUCACCCCUGUGAUGUACCCUGGGAACCCGGCUCUAUUACGGGAUUCACCUCAAUCACCAACUCCUCUAGACGUGAAAUUCUCAAGAAGGAAGCUUCACGGCCCCCGAGAAAGUGAUUUUGUCACGUGCUCUGUGACUCUGAGGCAAUUCCUCACUCUUACCGAAAAAUCAAAUGGUGGGGUGGCUCAGUCGGUUGGGCGUCCGACUUUGGCUCAGGUCAUGAUCUCACGGUCUGUGAGUUCCAGCCCCGUCGGGCUCUGUGCUGAUGGCUCAGAGCCUGGAGCCUGUUUCAGAUUCUGUGUCUCCCUCUCUCUCUGACCCUCUCCCGUUCAUGCUCUGUCUCUGUCUCAAAAAUAAAUAAACGUUAAAAAAAAAAAAAAGAAAAAUC